GGAGCUCAAAUACCUCAAAGAAGAUUAACCACUAUGAUAGGAACAUAAACCCCUCUAAUUAAUACCUUAAUUAGAUCACUGUUUCUUCACACACCCACCAGCCUAAGGAACAACGUACCAAACUUAUUUGUUUUCCAAGUUUUUUGAGUUUUAAGGAAAGUAGGAAGUUUAAGGAAGAUGUAGUGGAUGGAAAUUUGGAGUUAAUAACAGUGGAAAUUGACUUCAACAUCAAAGUGUUGGAAUGAAGGUUGUCAAGGUUUGUGUUUAGCGAUUGCCUCAUUGAUCCAUUCUCAUAACAAGCUCAGUCGUUGACCAAGAAAAAAUUAAGGAUUAACCAUUUUGUUGAGACCACUUCCCUCCGGUUUAGACUUAGUGUUUUUAAUAACAGAAAAAAAAAAUUAUUGUUUGUGUAAAUCUUUGAAAAGUUAAGUAAUAUAAAGUGAACUGUAAAAUCAUUAUUUUGAAAUAAGUUAUACCUUCA
Molecule: long non-coding RNA, 481 nt
Organism: Helianthus annuus (common sunflower)
Lineage: Eukaryota; Viridiplantae; Streptophyta; Magnoliopsida; Asterales; Asteraceae
Exons: 3
Source: RefSeq, a predicted model, not a curated record